AAUCAACGCUGGCGGCGUGCCUCAGACAUGCAAGUCGAACGCGAAAGUCCCCUUCGGGGGACAAGUAGAGUGGCGCACGGGUGAGUGACACGUAGGUAAUCUACCUUCGGGUGGGGAAUAACAACCGGAAACGGUUGCUAAUACCGCAUAAUGCAGCGGCACCUAAUGGUGACAGUUGUUAAAGCGGGGGAUCGCAAGACCUCGCGCCUGAAGAGGAGCCUGCGGCGGAUUAGCUAGUUGGCAGGGUAACGGCCUACCAAGGCGACGAUCCGUAGCCGGCCUGAGAGGGCGGUCGGCCACACUGACACUGACAUACGGGUCAGACUCCUACGGGAGGCAGCAGUCGGGAAUUUUAGGCAAUGGGCGAAAGCCUGACCCAGCAACGCCGCGUGAAGGAUGAAAUCCCUCGGGAUGUAAACUUCGCAAGAACGGGGAGAAUAAGCCGGUGUGAACACCACCGGCGAUGACGGUACCGUUUGUAAGCUCCGGCUAACUCCGUGCCAGCAGCCGCGGUAAUACGGGGGGAGCAAGCGUUGUUCGGAUUUACUGGGCGUAAAGGGCGCGUAGGCGGCCACCGCAAGUCAAUUGUGAAAUCUCCGGGCUUAACUCGGAAAGGUCAACUGAUACUGCGGGGCUAGAGUGCGGAAGGGGCAACUGGAAUUCUCGGUGUAGCGGUGAAAUGCGUAGAUAUCUAGCGGUGAAAUGCGUAGAUAUCGAGAGGAACACCUGCGGCGAAGGCGGGUUGCUGGGCCCGACACUGACGCUGAGGCGCGAAAGCUAGGGGAGCGAACGGGAUUAGAUACCCCGGUAGUCUAGCCUUAAACGAUGAUGCUUGGUGUCUGGGGUACAAAGUCCCCGGGUGCGUCGCUAACGCUUAGCAUUCCGGCUUGGGGAGUACGUCCAGACUGAACUCAAGGAAUGGAACGGGAAACCGCGC
RNAcentral lists this ribosomal RNA (937 nucleotides) under uncultured Acidobacteriota bacterium. RNAcentral describes it as "bacterial SSU rRNA". It matches the Rfam family "Bacterial small subunit ribosomal RNA", at positions 28 to 926 of the family's 1533-position model. Lineage: Bacteria; Pseudomonadati; Acidobacteriota. The record is from RNAcentral.